CCUUCGCCGGUCUUCGAGUUGGCGUUGCGCGGAGAGCGAAACCCUAGAAGCCGAUCUUUACGGUCAUGGCGAAGAACCGGAACAACAAAACGAAGAACAAGAGUAACCCGAAGAAGGACGGCGCCGUGCCGAUACAUGCCUCCACGGAGGCCGUAGUGAUGGAUACGUCGGAUGGAAACCCGUCAAAUCCAGUUCUUGGUGCCAUCAAUAGCUGUAGUUAGCUACUGGCUGAAGUGAUAUAAGAUCUUCAGCAAAAGUGAUAGUAAUGCAAUGCGUAAUUAGUAGAACCCACUGAAGAACAGUAUUGAGGGAAAUGCAUGCGUGAGUCAGAUUUGAAGACAAUCAAGUACGUCAUAUGGCAAGGCAAAAGGAACAAAUGGGAACAUUAUGUGGAGAAGUCUUAGUCAAGUACCUUGUCUUUUGCUUGACCAUGUCGAUUUAUACUUUUAGUGUCUGUUUCAAAUUUUAGGUUUAUCUGGCCAAUAUUGUGUAAAGAUAUUUACAAUGAGAAAUUUAAACCAAAUGUAUAAUUUCUCACAUAUUUAGUUUCUGAUUGGUGCAUAGAAUGUCAUAUGCAUAUUUUAUUGGUAUCAAUUUAUGAUAUGGAAAAUGGAAUCUGAUUACUUGGUUUUCUGUUUUCUGUAACCUUCCUUCGAGACAUCACAAGUGAAAAAAAAUAAUCUUGAAGUGUUUUCACAUGUUAUAUG
This is a non-coding RNA of Musa acuminata subsp. malaccensis (wild Malaysian banana), 707 nucleotides long. The record is from RefSeq and is a predicted model, not a curated record. Lineage: Eukaryota; Viridiplantae; Streptophyta; Magnoliopsida; Zingiberales; Musaceae.